GGUUAAGCGACUAAGCGUACACGGUGGAUGCCCUGGCAGUCAGAGGCGAUGAAGGACGUGCUAAUCUGCGAUAAGCGUCGGUAAGGUGAUAUGAACCGUUAUAACCGGCGAUUUCCGAAUGGGGAAACCCAGUGUGUUUCGACACACUAUCAUUAACUGAAUCCAUAGGUUAAUGAGGCGAACCGGGGGAACUGAAACAUCUAAGUACCCCGAGGAAAAGAAAUCAACCGAGAUUCCCCCAGUAGCGGCGAGCGAACGGGGAGCAGCCCAGAGCCUGAAUCAGUGUGUGUGUUAGUGGAAGCGUCUGGAAAGGCGCGCGAUACAGGGUGACAGCCCCGUACACAAAAAUGCACAUAUUGUGAGCUCGAUGAGUAGGGCGGGACACGUGGUAUCCUGUCUGAAUAUGGGGGGACCAUCCUCCAAGGCUAAAUACUCCUGACUGACCGAUAGUGAACCAGUACCGUGAGGGAAAGGCGAAAAGAACCCCGGCGAGGGGAGUGAAAAAGAACCUGAAACCGUGUACGUACAAGCAGUGGGAGCCUCUUUUAUGGGGUGACUGCGUACCUUUUGUAUAAUGGGUCAGCGACUUAUAUUCUGUAGCAAGGUUAACCGAAUAGGGGAGCCGAAGGGAAACCGAGUCUUAACUGGGCGUUAAGUUGCAGGGUAUAGACCCGAAACCCGGUGAUCUAGCCAUGGGCAGGUUGAAGGUUGGGUAACACUAACUGGAGGACCGAACCGACUAAUGUUGAAAAAUUAGCGGAUGACUUGUGGCUGGGGGUGAAAGGCCAAUCAAACCGGGAGAUAGCUGGUUCUCCCCGAAAGCUAUUUAGGUAGCGCCUCGUGAAUUCAUCUCCGGGGGUAGAGCACUGUUUCGGCAAGGGGGUCAUCCCGACUUACCAACCCGAUGCAAACUGCGAAUACCGGAGAAUGUUAUCACGGGAGACACACGGCGGGUGCUAACGUCCGUCGUGAAGAGGGAAACAACCCAGACCGCCAGCUAAGGUCCCAAAGUCAUGGUUAAGUGGGAAACGAUGUGGGAAGGCCCAGACAGCCAGGAUGUUGGCUUAGAAGCAGCCAUCAUUUAAAGAAAGCGUAAUAGCUCACUGGUCGAGUCGGCCUGCGCGGAAGAUGUAACGGGGCUAAACCAUGCACCGAAGCUGCGGCAGCGACACUGUGUGUUGUUGGGUAGGGGAGCGUUCUGUAAGCCUGUGAAGGUGUACUGUGAGGUAUGCUGGAGGUAUCAGAAGUGCGAAUGCUGACAUAAGUAACGAUAAAGCGGGUGAAAAGCCCGCUCGCCGGAAGACCAAGGGUUCCUGUCCAACGUUAAUCGGGGCAGGGUGAGUCGACCCCUAAGGCGAGGCCGAAAGGCGUAGUCGAUGGGAAACAGGUUAAUAUUCCUGUACUUGGUGUUACUGCGAAGGGGGGACGGAGAAGGCUAUGUUGGCCGGGCGACGGUUGUCCCGGUUUAAGCGUGUAGGCUGGUUUUCCAGGCAAAUCCGGAAAAUCAAGGCUGAGGCGUGAUGACGAGGCACUACGGUGCUGAAGCAACAAAUGCCCUGCUUCCAGGAAAAGCCUCUAAGCAUCAGGUAACAUCAAAUCGUACCCCAAACCGACACAGGUGGUCAGGUAGAGAAUACCAAGGCGCUUGAGAGAACUCGGGUGAAGGAACUAGGCAAAAUGGUGCCGUAACUUCGGGAGAAGGCACGCUGAUAUGUAGGUGAAGCGACUUGCUCGUGGAGCUGAAAUCAGUCGAAGAUACCAGCUGGCUGCAACUGUUUAUUAAAAACACAGCACUGUGCAAACACGAAAGUGGACGUAUACGGUGUGACGCCUGCCCGGUGCCGGAAGGUUAAUUGAUGGGGUUAGCGCAAGCGAAGCUCUUGAUCGAAGCCCCGGUAAACGGCGGCCGUAACUAUAACGGUCCUAAGGUAGCGAAAUUCCUUGUCGGGUAAGUUCCGACCUGCACGAAUGGCGUAAUGAUGGCCAGGCUGUCUCCACCCGAGACUCAGUGAAAUUGAACUCGCUGUGAAGAUGCAGUGUACCCGCGGCAAGACGGAAAGACCCCGUGAACCUUUACUAUAGCUUGACACUGAACAUUGAGCCUUGAUGUGUAGGAUAGGUGGGAGGCUUUGAAGUGUGGACGCCAGUCUGCAUGGAGCCGACCUUGAAAUACCACCCUUUAAUGUUUGAUGUUCUAACGUGGACCCGUGAUCCGGGUUGCGGACAGUGUCUGGUGGGUAGUUUGACUGGGGCGGUCUCCUCCUAAAGAGUAACGGAGGAGCACGAAGGUUGGCUAAUCCUGGUCGGACAUCAGGAGGUUAGUGCAAUGGCAUAAGCCAGCUUGACUGCGAGCGUGACGGCGCGAGCAGGUGCGAAAGCAGGUCAUAGUGAUCCGGUGGUUCUGAAUGGAAGGGCCAUCGCUCAACGGAUAAAAGGUACUCCGGGGAUAACAGGCUGAUACCGCCCAAGAGUUCAUAUCGACGGCGGUGUUUGGCACCUCGAUGUCGGCUCAUCACAUCCUGGGGCUGAAGUAGGUCCCAAGGGUAUGGCUGUUCGCCAUUUAAAGUGGUACGCGAGCUGGGUUUAGAACGUCGUGAGACAGUUCGGUCCCUAUCUGCCGUGGGCGCUGGAGAACUGAGGGGGGCUGCUCCUAGUACGAGAGGACCGGAGUGGACGCAUCACUGGUGUUCGGGUUGUCAUGCCAAUGGCACUGCCCGGUAGCUAAAUGCGGAAGAGAUAAGUGCUGAAAGCAUCUAAGCACGAAACUUGCCCCGAGAUGAGUUCUCCCUGACUCCUUGAGAGUCCUGAAGGAACGUUGAAGACGACGACGUUGAUAGGCCGGGUGUGUAAGCGCAGCGAUGCGUUGAGCUAACCGGUACUAAUGAACCGUGAGGCUUAACCUU
RNAcentral lists this ribosomal RNA (2903 nucleotides) under Escherichia coli. Its description in RNAcentral is "23S ribosomal RNA". It matches the Rfam family "Bacterial large subunit ribosomal RNA". Lineage: Bacteria; Pseudomonadati; Pseudomonadota; Gammaproteobacteria; Enterobacterales; Enterobacteriaceae. The record is from RNAcentral.